CCUGACUGCUAUCGGAUUGAUACUAAGCCAUGCGAGUCAUUGUAGCAAUACAAGGCAGACGGCUCAGUAACGCGUAGUCAACCUAACCUAUGGACGGGAAUAACCUCGGGAAACUGAGAAUAAUGCCCGAUAGAACACUAUGCCUGGAAUGGUUUGUGUUCCAAAUGAUUUAUCGCCGUAGGAUGGGACUGCGGCCUAUCAGUUUGUUGGUGAGGUAAUGGCCCACCAAGACUAUUACAGGUACGGGCUCUGAGAGGAGUGGCCCGGAGAUGGGUACUGAGACACGGACCCAGGCCCUAUGGGGCGCAGCAGGCGAGAAAACUUUGCAAUGUGCGAAAGCACGACAAGGUUAAUCCGAGUGGUUUCUGCUAAAGGAACCUUUUGUCGGUCCUAGAAACACCGAUGAAUAAGGGGUGGGCAAGUUCUGGUGUCAGCCGCCGCGGUAAAACCAGCACCUCAAGUGGUCAGGAUGAUUAUUGGGCCUAAAGCAUCCGUAGCCUGCUUUGUUAGUUUUCGGUUAAAUCUGUACGCUCAACGUACAGGCUGCCGAGAAUACUGCAAAGCUAGGGAGUGGGAGAGGUAGACGGUACUCGGUAGGAAGGGGUAAAAUCCUUUGAUCUAUUGAUGACCACCUGUGGCGAAGGCGGUCUACCAGAACACGUCCGACGGUGAGGGAUGAAAGCUGGGGGAGCAAACCGGAUUAGAUACCCGGGUAGUCCCAGCUGUAAACCAUGCAAACUCAGUGAUGCAUUGGCUUGUGGCCAAUGCAGUGCUGCAGGGAAGCCGUUAAGUUUGCCGCCUGGGAAGUACGUACGCAAGUAUGAAACUUAAAGGAAUUGGCGGGGGAGCACCACAAGGGGUGAAGCCUGCGGUUC
This 875-nucleotide ribosomal RNA is filed under the name uncultured marine group I thaumarchaeote. Its description in RNAcentral is "bacterial SSU rRNA". It matches the Rfam family "Archaeal small subunit ribosomal RNA", at positions 21 to 903 of the family's 1478-position model. Lineage: Archaea; Thermoproteati; Nitrososphaerota. The record is from RNAcentral.